This 301-nucleotide unclassified non-coding RNA is filed under the name root metagenome. RNAcentral's name for it is "partial contains small subunit ribosomal RNA, internal transcribed spacer 1, and 5.8S ribosomal RNA". The record is from RNAcentral.
UUUCCGUAGGUGAACCUGCGGAAGGAUCAUUGUCGAGACCCUCGCGAGAUCGGUGAACCCGUGAACAGUCGGCGGGUGUGCCCGACGGCAUGCCGCGCCCCGCCGCCCGUCCUCUUCUGAGGGCGGCGGCUGGACGACAAGUCCUUCGUUCGGCGCCGUUCUGCGCCAAGGAAGACGCUGUGUUUAACGCGGAGGGUGACAUCAUGCCCGGUCUGUGUUGGUCCGCUCGCAGCGCGGGUAUGAGUCGCCUCCCGUGCUCGUUGAAUUCGGAAGACUCUCGGCAACGGAUAUCUCGGCUCUC